AGUAUAUUAUGUAACAUAUAUAAAAUAUUUUAAAGAAAUUUAACAAUUAAUUUUUUUUAAUUCAUAUUCAGAUCAACACAGUUUUAGAUGUGUUACGUUUCAGACAUGUGAUACGAGCUACGUUUGAUAGUUUGGUUGUGCUAUGGACAACCUUUAGUUGUGGAGAAUUUAUGUGUCGCGAUCCUGAUUCUGUAAUGUGAUUGGCUGAGAGGCGGAAGGAGGCGGGGAUUAAGGCCAAAAGGCAAAGGCGCACAGGUACGAGGCGUUGGAGAGGUUUAGAAACCGUCAAUUAAGAAGAAGUGUGUAUUUUACCAUGUUUAUGGUGCUUUUAAUUACUGUUUUCUACCGACUAACACAGCAAUGCGGAAGAAAAUUAUCAAAAUGGAGAUCUCCGAGGGAGAACGUCUAGCUUCACCGCGACGGGCGGACGGCUCCUGGUUCAGUUCAGCAUCAUCACACAGAGUUUACCCCGUCCCUGCACGUGCCGCGUUGGACGCUGACCUUGACCUCUCCAAUGAUUGAAGAGCAGGAAGUUAAGGCUCACCGGCGUGACGUGAUGAUGCUGAACACCAAUAAAUCAUUACAAGCAGACAAUACUGAAGAAUGUUCUGACAACAGCAGCAGGGACUUAUGGAGACUUGAGCAGAGGCCCAGCAGGAUCAGAACCCAAGAAUGUCAGCGGUCCAGAAAGAAACUACUGCUGCAGGAAAUGCAGAAUAGACAGGAAGCACAAAGUGUUCACUGAUGGAGUUGCACUAAACAUGGUUGAAGCCUCUAGGAAAGACGAGACCGGGGAAGGUGUCGUUGUUGGACUGAAUGAAAGGCAGCGAGGCUGGAGGGGCGUCUCCUGGGGGAUGUUCAGCAUCAGGCUUCCCUCAAACCACAACACGUUCACCUGAUGUUGACAGAUUGCCGUCACCAUUGGCUGCCUUUUCCACGCUCCGGUUUCCCAGCAUGCUCCACUGAGGAUGCAGCCAGAAGUUGACCCAGAGGUUUCCUGGAGGCCUCGUCUGCGCCGGCGCUGGUUCUGGAGCGGAGCGUAAAAGCGGAUGUCGGUCCGUGUGACGCGUCUUCGCCCGUUUCACUCCGUCAACGCGGUUAAAGGCUCGUGUUUGUUCCGUGUCACUUCCCUCUGAGAGCUGUGACCGACUCCACCAGAUGAUGACGCUCAUGUUCCAACAAGCUUCAUGUCGCGUGACCCAGAUGAAAUGAUUGUUGACCAUGCAAUUAUGUUCUCUGUGUGACUUGUUUGUGUGCUGAAUUAGCAAACUGGAUUGGUAAAUGACCGUUAAAUGAAGCAGCAAAUUACUGUCUUUUCCAGUUGCCCACAUGAAUAUAGUCACACGCUGAGGCUGGAUUUGCACCUGUAAUUUCAUUUUUCCAGGUAUUUAUUUUUGACUCGGCCUUUAUUUGAAGUCGUGUGCGGCAGAUACACGUGUAGAGAUCAGAAUGAAGGGAGCUGCUGGGUUCUGGUCCGAGAGCCGAGGUAUCGAUCGACCUGCAGCACGCGUUUCACCAGUCGCUUAAAUAAAUAAGUCAUUUAAAGCGUGGUGAAGUUUCCA
Molecule: long non-coding RNA, 1562 nt
Organism: Betta splendens (Siamese fighting fish)
Lineage: Eukaryota; Metazoa; Chordata; Actinopteri; Anabantiformes; Osphronemidae
Source: Ensembl